GGCCGGAUAAGGCGUUCACGCCGCAUCCGGCAGUCGGCGCAUAAUGCCUGAUGCGACGCUUGUCGCGUCUUAUCAGGCC
RNAcentral lists this non-coding RNA (79 nucleotides) under Escherichia coli. Its description in RNAcentral is "Nucleoid-associated noncoding RNA 4 (CssrE)". It matches the Rfam family "Nucleoid-associated noncoding RNA 4 (CssrE)". Rfam says of the family: In E. coli small RNA transcribed from repeated extragenic palindromic element (REP325) called nucleoid-associated ncRNA 4 (nRNA4) collaborates HU protein in condensing the DNA. The secondary structure but not the sequence of the RNA is important in nucleoid condensation. Lineage: Bacteria; Pseudomonadati; Pseudomonadota; Gammaproteobacteria; Enterobacterales; Enterobacteriaceae. The record is from RNAcentral.